CGCGUGCAGGAAGAAGGCUUCGGGUUGUAAACUGCUUUUGUACGGAACGAAACGGUCUGGGUUAAUACCCUGGGCUAAUGACGGUACCGUAAGAAUAAGCACCGGCUAACUACGUGCCAGCAGCCGCGGUAAUACGUAGGGUGCAAGCGUUAAUCGGAAUUACUGGGCGUAAAGCGUGCGCAGGCGGUUUUGUAAGACAGUCGUGAAAUCCCCGGGCUCAACCUGGGAAUGGCGAUUGUGACUGCAAAGCUGGAGUGCGGCAGAGGGGGAUGGAAUUCCGCGUGUAGCAGUGAAAUGCGUAGAUAUGCGGAGGAACACCGAUGGCGAAGCAAUCCCCUGGGCCUGCACUGACGCUCAUGCACGAAAGCGUGGGGAGCAAACAGGAUUAGAUACCCUGGUAGUCCACGCCCUAACGAUGUCAACUGGUUGUUGGGUCUCUUCUGACUCAAUAACGAA
RNAcentral lists this ribosomal RNA (456 nucleotides) under uncultured bacterium. Its description in RNAcentral is "bacterial SSU rRNA". It matches the Rfam family "Bacterial small subunit ribosomal RNA", at positions 398 to 850 of the family's 1533-position model. The record is from RNAcentral.